Molecule: ribosomal RNA, 1343 nt
Filed under: uncultured bacterium
Lineage: Bacteria
Description: 16S ribosomal RNA
Rfam family: Bacterial small subunit ribosomal RNA
Source: RNAcentral
GACGAACGCUUGCGGCGUGCUUAACACAUGCAAGUCGAACGGAAAGGCCCUGCUUUUGUGGGGUGCUCGAGUGGCGAACGGGUGAGUAACACGUGAGUAACCUGCCCUUGACUUUGGGAUAACUUCAGGAAACUGGGGCUAAUACCGGAUAGGAGCUCCUGCUGCAUGGUGGGGGUUGGAAAGUUUCGGCGGUUGGGGAUGGACUCGCGGCUUAUCAGCUUGUUGGUGGGGUAGUGGCUUACCAAGGCUUUGACGGGUAGCCGGCCUGAGAGGGUGACCGGCCACAUUGGGACUGAGAUACGGCCCAGACUCCUACGGGAGGCAGCAGUGGGGAAUAUUGCACAAUGGGCGGAAGCCUGAUGCAGCAACGCCGCGUGCGGGAUGACGGCCUUCGGGUUGUAAACCGCUUUCGCCUGUGACGAAGCGUGAGUGACGGUAAUGGGUAAAGAAGCACCGGCUAACUACGUGCCAGCAGCCGCGGUGAUACGUAGGGUGCGAGCGUUGUCCGGAUUUAUUGGGCGUAAAGGGCUCGUAGGUGGUUGAUCGCGUCGGAAGUGUAAUCUUGGGGCUUAACCCUGAGCGUGCUUUCGAUACGGGUUGACUUGAGGAAGGUAGGGGAGAAUGGAAUUCCUGGUGGAGCGGUGGAAUGCGCAGAUAUCAGGAGGAACACCAGUGGCGAAGGCGGUUCUCUGGGCCUUUCCUGACGCUGAGGAGCGAAAGCGUGGGGAGCGAACAGGCUUAGAUACCCUGGUAGUCCACGCUGUAAACGGUGGGUACUAGGUGUGGGGUCCAUUCCACGGGUUCCGUGCCGUAGCUAACGCUUUAAGUACCCCGCCUGGGGAGUACGGCCGCAAGGCUAAAACUCAAAGGAAUUGACGGGGCCCCGCACAAGCGGCGGAGCAUGCGGAUUAAUUCGAUGCAACGCGUAGAACCUUACCUGGGUUUGACAUGGAUCGGGAGUGCUCAGAGAUGGGUGUGCCUCUUUUGGGGUCGGUUCACAGGUGGUGCAUGCCUGUCGUCAGCUCGUGUCGUGAGAUGUUGGGUUAAGUCCCGCAACGAGCGCAACCCUUGUUCACUGUUGCCAGCACGUUAUGGUGGGGACUCAGUGGAGACCGCCGGGGUCAACUCGGAGGAAGGUGGGGAUGACGUCAAGUCCUCACGCCCCUUAUGUCCAGGGCUUCACGCAUGCUACAAUGGCUGGUACAGAGAGUGGCGAGCCUGUGAGGGUGAGCGAAUCUCGGAAAGCCGGUCUCAGUUCGGAUUGGGGUCUGCAACUCGACCUCAUGAAGUCGGAGUCGCUAGUAAUCGCAGAUCAGCAACGCUGCGGUGAAUACGUUCCCGGG